Molecule: long non-coding RNA, 6963 nt
Filed under: Fragaria vesca (wild strawberry)
Lineage: Eukaryota; Viridiplantae; Streptophyta; Magnoliopsida; Rosales; Rosaceae
Description: long non-coding RNA (FVES_LNC001671)
Source: RNAcentral
UCAAUUUGUGCAACAGUUUCUUUUGUGAUGCUUGUGUGUGUAAAACUUGGACAACAAAGUCUGUCCACAUGAAAAUGCAACUGUUGUAUGAUUCUCAUCAAACAAGAAAGCAGAAUGCUAUAUCUAUUAUGUGAUACAACAGUCCAAAUAUAUCAGUUGUAGGUUAUUCAACGUCACACAACAGUAAAGAUAGGGAAUAAACCGUUGUAGCUUACUGAAAAAUACACAACGAUAGAAAUGAAAACCAACAGUUGUCUGAAAAGGUAAAAAUACAACGAAAAUGUUUUAUUGUUUGUUGUCUAAGUGGACUUGUCGAUGCCGCGCAUGGCAUCGAUCUGCGCAGCGACUUAUACAACGAAAGUAUUGAACUGUUGAGAAAAAUGUGAUCACACAACGGUGAUUUCCACACUUAUCUGAAGAUUCAAUCAGACAAGCCCGAGAUAUACAACGGAAAACCUAUAGUCACACAACGGUGUUCCAACAGAAGUAUGAGCAUUACGAUAGAGGGCAAGACAAGGGCAAACAACAUGACACCUCCCGGGAUAACAACCAGGGAUGUGGUUCAGACCGUCGCCAUAGUGGGCAGCGGGGACGGGACCAUCCUUAUCGGUCCCAAGAGCAGAGCCCCCAGCAGCAACAACGUCGCUCCUCCCCGUCACCCCGUUAUGAGGUCCACACUACCCUGACCACUACAUAUGAAGAUAUAUGGGCCAAGCAUAAAGACCUCAUGACACGACCCACCCCAAAUUUCAUCCUGAAACCCAGAGUAAGUCGUGCGGGGACCACCUCCAAGGAAAAUUUACCGAAAAAUCGGCUUAACCUCCCUUGAAAAUGGACUACCCUUCCUAAUAAUACCUGCAAACACUUUUGAAAAUUUAAAUCCAACCUUAAACUCCUGGAGCCUCCGUGCUCCCCAAAUCACAACACCACCCAAAUUAUUUACUAAUCUAAACAAAUCUCAUAUCCAACCAUUUAUAGGUUUAGAGCAACUCUAACAGGAAGAAAGGAAACAUAAUAAAUUAACAAACGGAAGCUAUAUGAUGACUAUGCCUCAUCCCCAUGUACGCCCGACCUCAACUAUGCAAUCCUGCAAACUGGGCAUUUUUAAAACGAAGAGCCCAAGGGAAAACAUUUGAAACAAGUUAGAGUGAGUGGACAAAAAUAAAUUAACGAAUAAAAUAUUUAUGUUUCCCUAAAUCAAUUUCCAAGGAAAAUCGAAUGCAUGCUGCAAGCGAUAAAACUUUUAUCUCAUAAAUGUCGAGCCUCUCAGGCUUUAUAAUAUAUGUAUGUAUUUACACACGUCCAUACUCCCUAUAUAAAUUCAUGGGUCUAUAUAGGGCUACUACGCUCGCGUCCAACGCUCACGUCACGUCUUAAUGCGGUGCUACACUACGCCAUUAAGGUGGACAGACGGGUGUAUAAAUAUGUGCCCAUACCCCCUAUAUGAAUUAAACACUCAUAUAGGGCUACUACACUCACGUCCAACGCUCACGUCACACCAUAAUGCGGCUAUAUGCUACGCCAUUAAGGUGGACAGACACAUAUGGCUAGCUAGCAUUUAUAUACAUACUCUCUCAUAAAUACAUAUUUAUAUCCACCGAAAAUCCCAUUUGCUCCUCGGCGGACGGCGGCGGGAGGACGGCCGGAAAAUUGGGCAGCGGGAGGAGCUCGGGGAGAGAGAAAACCGGGAAGAAAAAAAAAAAAGAGAAGGGAGAAAAUGGCUUUGGGCCUCCUCCCCCCAAACCGGUCCAACUUAAUACCCAUUUGAAAACAAACCCAACUCCAAAAAUAAAACACCCCGAAAAUAAUACCCGAAUAAAAAUUACCUUUUACUAGCUAAAAUUUACUAUUUUUACCGUUGUCAUAUUUUCUCCCACGAAUAAUUCCCCGAAAUUAAUCGUCUCUCAAAACACCUCUAGGGACCGAUUAAACUAUUACCUCAAUGAAGGAGACAGUAAAAUUCUUAUUAUAACCAAGCUAGUAAAUAAGGUAAAAAUUUAAGGGUCGGGAUGUGACAAUUCUCCCCUCCUUAUAAAAAUUUCGUCCUCGAAAUUUACAUACCUGACAAUCAAAAAGAUAGGGAUACUGCUGCCUCAUUUGCUCCUCUGAUUCCCAAGUAGCUUCCCCUACUUGAUGACUCCUCCACAGAACUUUAACAAGAGGAAAAAGAUUUGCAUCUAGCACUUGCUCCUUUAGGUCGAGAAUCUGAACCGGCUCCUCAUCAUAGGCCAAAACUUUUUUCCCAAUUAAUCGACUGCUCUCGCAACACAUGAGAGAGAUCGGCAAUAAACUUGCGAAGCAUGGAUACAUGAAACACAUUAUGUAUCCUGGAUAACUCUAGAGGCAAAACUAACUGAAACACAAGAGAGCCAACUUGAUCUAAAAACCCAUAAGGACCAAUAAAUCUCGGACCAAGCUUUUCACGUUACCAAAACGUACCACCCCUUUCCAAGGGGAUAAUUUCGAAAAACACUCAAACACUCACUUGAAACUCAUGGUCCUUCCUGCGGACAUCUUUAUAACUCUUCUGGCUACUAAGAGCUGCUUUGAGUCUAUCUCUGACUCUUUUAACCUUUUCAUUUCUCAAAGACUCUAAAUCCUUCGUUGAACUAUCACUAACGUUUGCACGUAAGUGAGUUCAGUGAUACCUGCUCCAGAGUACGAGUACCUGUAGGUAUGCACACUCUUUCCUGAGCAAUGGAAAUAGCUAACCCAAAUAAAACGCAUAAAUUUGCUAUCACCAUCGGGCUCAAAUCUCCUAACAUCACGCAACAACCUCGUCAUUACGUUGCUCACAGCUCGACAAUGAAGCCCACUUGCUAGGAAACUAAAAUUCACACAUUCCCACAUGCUCAUAGGGGUCAAAAUUAAGACCCGAUAAUUGAACAGAUUUUUAAGGAUGCACACACUACAACAAUCACUCCUAUUUCUGAGACACCUCGCAGAGUCUUUCGCGGAGCCAAAGCUCUCGCAAGUCCACAAGAUAACCUUGCUCUACCUAAAUGACCAGUCCACCAACAUAUGAUAACCUCGAUUGCCUAAAUAACAUUAUGAAAAGAUCAAUACCACGACACUUAGAUCUCUCCACCAAAACUAUUACAUUACCAUUUUAUGCACCACAAACUAGCAACUUAUGGGAAUUUCCAACUCUCUCCUGAUUCUGCUAUCUCCACUAUUAUUUACCACAAACCAGAAGAUAAUCUGAAGCAUGACUAACAUGUGGAAACUGGAUAUUCCUCCUUGCUCGCCAUAAACAAAAAACUAAUUAAUGCCCACGAAGAUUGGCACAGUCAAUUCAUGAUGCCAAACUUGACGUUGAAAUCCACAUAAAUAGAACACCUUCCUUAAGCAUUGACAAAAAUUUACAUCUCCAGCCAUGCUACUUAUUCGGGUGCAACUACGACCCCAAGAGCAGUAAUUAAAAGCACACGGCUCACGCUAGCCGUUCCAUAAGAAUGAUUCUAAAUACCAAAACCUUUGAAUCCGACAAAUACAUUUCCUUUUUUUUUUUUUUUUUUUUUUUAAUUUUACCUUUUACCUCUAACAACAAUAAAUCUGAUAGCAGAAAACAAUCUGAAAAUCAGAUAUGCUCAAGUCUCCUCCACAUCCUAGGGCCACGACUUCCCACCAAAAAGAUUCUUCGAAAACCGAGCUUGCAAUAACAUGCGACUAACAAAAGCAAAGAAAAAUUUUUAUACAAGACCCACUACUACACCUUGUGGUUCACCAACUAACGAAAACCAUGAAUUCAAGCAAGAAUCAAAACUCAUGGCUUAACUCAGCUCAAGCUCCAAAAGAAAUAAUUUAAAGCACACGAAAAGCAAGUCCUCUAACUUCGAGCUCAAAAGCUCCACAGAUCUCCGAUAUCCGCCAGAACCCGCUUCGAAAUCACACUAGAAACCUCCACUAAUCAUCCUGACACCAACAGAUAAACGCACAACCAAAAAGCAAAGACCUCCCAAACAAAAACUUGGAUCAAUGAGUGGUCCCACCACAAAACGAUCCUGAGAAGAGACGUUGAUCAACCUAUCAAUAAAUCUACUAUUCGCCAUAAUAAUCUCUUAAUAAACCUUGACUCGAAAAUCUUCUUGAGUCAACAGGGGAAAACCUUCUCCCAUAAUGCUACAUCAUGAAAUAUACCUACAAUAGAGACCAAAAUCAUCAGAAAACUUACUAUUCAUCAACUACUAACAUCCAUCAUUUCAAAAUAUAUUACCACUACCAUCUGGAUAAAAUGCUCUAAGGAUAGAAACAUAUCCAUAAUUAGCACUGCAGAAACCAGAACAUAUACCGCCAUAACCAAAAUUAUCCCAACAUGUUCCCAAUUGAUUUAUGUUGCGGAUAAAAUUGUCGGCAAAAUAGCCUUCAAUCAAGACUUAUCUAAAUUCACAUUUAGCUCUUUAUGCAGCAAUACCUUACCACCCAAUCACUAGCCACAAAUUUCCUAAAACCUUGAUUAACCCAAGACUAGGGUCCUCAACAACUCAUAUAGGUACCCCUUUGAAUUACCAUUGGAUACCUCACCUCAUCAUUUCAACUAACUUUUUCAUCAAUAGAAUACACCACUAUUUCGAACUUUCCUUUCAACUCAACUCUCUUAGAAGUCACGUAACUCAAUACCAAAAUCUCCCAUCAAUCAAUUUUUGACUCCAAUCUUGCCCACUAAAAAAAUGGACAACUCCAAGGCAUUAAUCAUCAACAUUUCACCCAACAUAUUUGCAGAAGAUGCUCACCUUAGCAUCUUAAUCUGAAACCUUAAUCUUAAUUAACCCAAUCAAUCAUUGGAUACCUGAAAGGAAUGCUAACAAGCUUUUUCGUUCCCCACUCGCAAAACAACUCCAACAAUUAAUAUCAAAGAUAUUAAAUUAAUGAACUUUGGAAUAGGUGCAAACUAUACACCUUUUCAAAACUCGAAGGAUGAACACUCAAGAGGUCAGCGUACUAAGGCAUAGUUUUAGAGAUGUAGACAUUUAUGGCACACUACUGUCCAUAAAUAAAAGAAGAACAACUACAUCACAACCCUAAUCAACACAUAGUGUCUUAAGCAUAUAAUGCUAAUAGAUCCGCCGCGGUUGGACAAUCACUCUAUAGACACUAAGUGCGACCAAGAAUAUAAGGUAGUACUAAAAAAAGAAAGGAAACGAAUAACCUAGUGCUCUGAUACCAACUGACACGACCCACCCCAAAUUUCACCCUGAAACCCAGAGUAAGUCGUGCGGGGACCACCUCCAAGGAAAAUUUACUGAAAAAUCGGCAUAACCUCCCUUGAAAAUGGACAACCCUUCCUAAUAAUACCUGCAAACACUUUUGAAAAUUUAAAUCCAACCUUAAACUCCUGGAGCCUCCGUGCUCCCCAAAUCACAACACCACCCAAAUUAUUUACUAAUCUAAACAAAUCUCAUAUCCAACCAUUUAUAGGUUCAGAGCAACUCUAACAGGAAGAAAGGAAACAUAAUAAAUUAACAAGCGGAAGCUAUAUGAUGACUAUGCCUCAUCCCCAUGUACGCCCGACCUCAACUAUGCAAUCCUGCAAACUGGGCAUUUUUAAAACGAAGAGCCCAGGGGAAAACAUUUGAAACACAUUAGAGUGAGUGGACAAAAAUAAAUUAACGAAUAAAAUAUUUAUGUUUCCCCAAAUCAAUUUCCAAGGAAAAUCGAAUGCAUGCUGCAAGCGAUAAAACUUUUAUCUCAUAAAUGUCGAGCCUCUCAGGCUUUAUAAUAUAUGUAUGUAUUUACACACGUCCAUACUCCCUAUAUAAAUUCAUGGGUCUAUAUAGGGCUACUACGCUCGCGUCCAACGCUCACGUCACGCCUUAAUGCGGUGCUACACUACGCCAUAAGGUGGACAGACGGGUGUAUAAAUAUGUGCCUAUACCCCUUAUAUGAAUUAAACACUCAUAUAGGGCUACUACGCUCGCGUCCAACGCUCACGUCACAUCAUAAUGCGGCUAUAUGCUACGCCAUUAAGGUGGACAGACACAUAGGGCUAGCUAGCUUUUAUAUACAUACUCUCUCAUAAAUACAUAUUUAUAUCCACCGAAAAUCCCAUUUUCGGUAACUCUCCAAGAGAAAUAAAAAUCGUCAAAAUUAAAAUGACGUCAAAAUGUUCCACAACAUUAAUUGUUCAUCUAUGAACUAUAGCAUGCAUUUUAUUUAAAACAAAAGUCCACUCACAACUCUAGGCAUAAGCCCGACGAAAUCCAAAUCGCCACUCCAGAGAGGUUUCCUUGAACCCUGGCACAAAUACAAAAUUAAUUUCCCAACUAAAACUCCAAUAUUUAAACAAAAUAGGCAAAAUUAACCGAGAGCCAUAACUACGCUCAUCAUUGCCUAACUUCAAUAUUCUUAAAUCGAAACGAUCCGAACUUAAAUAUCAUACUCGGCAGCCGUAAUUACAACCUCCCCAAAAAUACGACUUCGGAAAUUCAUAAACCUAUCCAAAACUCAUACAAAAAUUUCAUAACUCACUUCAACAAACUCCCCUUAAUAUUCUAAAUUUAAAACCCUAAAAAUCUUCCAAACAGUGGCGGCGGCUCCGCCGGUAGCGGCGGCCGGAGGCCGAUUCCGGCGACCUCCAAAUCCUACCAAAUUUUAACAGUAGCUUCCUCUCCACUCCCUCUACAACUUUCCUAACUAGCACAAACCCAAAAUCCAAGCCUAACUAGGUCAAACGAGCAAAAACAUCUAAAACACCCUAGAACUUCCACCUCUAAUUUCUCCUUACCUGAAGCGAACCGGAGUGAGCCCUUUUAGGGCAAGGCAGCUGGGUUGGAGACCUUCAAAACCGUACCAAGCUUGCCCGGAUUGGUGGCCGGAGGAGGGAGUUCCGGCGAAGUGAAGCUUUGGACAGUCGGACCUUUAGGGGGAGAGCACUCUUUCACGACGGAGCUAGGGAAGCUGCUACCGAUCCAGGGAGGUAGCUGGGAUGAUGGCCUACCGAACGGGACCGGUGCGGUAGNNNNN